This 73-nucleotide transfer RNA is filed under the name Chroomonas mesostigmatica CCMP1168. Its description in RNAcentral is "tRNA-Phe". Lineage: Eukaryota; Cryptophyceae; Pyrenomonadales; Chroomonadaceae. The record is from RNAcentral.
UUUUCAUUGGAUAAAAUUUAAAAUUUUUUUUUUGAAAAAAAAGAUUUUUUAUGUUAAAUUGAUAAAUAAAAAU